GGGGAAUUUUGGACAAUGGGCGCAAGCCUGAUCCAGCCAUUCCGCGUGAGUGAAGAAGGCCUUCGGGUUGUAAAGCUCUUUCGCAAGGGAAGAAAACUUAUCCUCUAACAUAGGAUGAGGUUGACGGUACCUUGAUAAGAAGCACCAGCUAACUACGUGCCAGCAGCCGCGGUAAUACGUAGGGUGCGAGCGUUAAUCGGAAUUACUGGGCGUAAAGCGUGCGCAGGCUGUUUUGUAAGUCAGAUGUGAAAUCCCCGAGCUCAACUUGGGAACUGCGUUUGAAACUACAAGACUAGAAUAGGUCAGAGGGGGGUAGAAUUCCACGUGUAGCAGUGAAAUGCGUAGAGAUGUGGAGGAAUAUCAAUGGCAAAGGCAGCCCCCUGGGAUCAUAGUGACGCUCAUGCACGAAAGCGUGGGGAGCAAAC
Molecule: ribosomal RNA, 425 nt
Filed under: uncultured bacterium
Lineage: Bacteria
Description: bacterial SSU rRNA
Rfam family: Bacterial small subunit ribosomal RNA
Source: RNAcentral